GCCUCCUUAGCUUAGUCGGUAAAACACCGGACUAUUGUGCGGUAGGACUCGGGUUCGAGCCCUGAUGAAGGCA
Henosepilachna vigintioctopunctata is the source of this 73-nucleotide non-coding RNA. NCBI's taxonomy places the organism in Eukaryota, Metazoa, Arthropoda, Insecta, Coleoptera, Coccinellidae. The record is from the annotation of a GenBank genome assembly.